Molecule: ribosomal RNA, 253 nt
Filed under: uncultured bacterium
Lineage: Bacteria
Description: partial 16S ribosomal RNA
Rfam family: Bacterial small subunit ribosomal RNA
Source: RNAcentral
UACGUAGGGGGCGAGCGUUGUCCGGAUUUACUGGGCGUAAAGCGCGCGUAGGCGGAAGUGUAAGUGUGGCCUGAAAGCCCCCGGCUCAACCGGGGAGGGCGGCUGCAAACUGCGCUUCUUGAGGGCGAUAGAGGAGUGUGGAAUUCCUGGUGUAGCGGUGAAAUGCGUAGAUAUCCGGAGGAACACCGGUGGCGAAGGCGGCUUCCUGGACCGACACUGACGCUGAGGCGCGAAAGCUAGGGGAGCAAACGGG